RNAcentral lists this ribosomal RNA (274 nucleotides) under uncultured bacterium. Its description in RNAcentral is "partial 16S ribosomal RNA". It matches the Rfam family "Bacterial small subunit ribosomal RNA", at positions 523 to 796 of the family's 1533-position model. The record is from RNAcentral.
AUACGGAGGGGGUUAGCGUUGUUCGGAAUUACGGGGCGUAAAGCGUACGUAGGCGGAUCGGAAAGUAAGGGGUGAAAUCCCAGGGCUCAACCCUGGAACUGCCUCUUAAACUCCCGGUCUUGAGUUCGAGAGAGGUGAGUGGAAUUCCUAGUGUAGAGGUGAAAUUCGUAGAUAUUAGGAGGAACACCAGUGGCGAAGGCGGCUCACUGGCUCGAUACUGACGCUGAGGUACGAAAGUGUGGGGAGCAAACAGGAUUAGAAACCCUAGUAGUCC